This 922-nucleotide ribosomal RNA is filed under the name human gut metagenome. RNAcentral describes it as "bacterial SSU rRNA". It matches the Rfam family "Bacterial small subunit ribosomal RNA", at positions 361 to 1284 of the family's 1533-position model. The record is from RNAcentral.
AUAUUGGUCAAUGGUCGGCAGACUGAACCAGCCAAGUCGCGUGAGGGAAGACGGCCCUACGGGUUGUAAACCUCUUUUGUCGGAGAGUAAAGUACGCUACGUGUAGUGUAUUGCAAGUAUCCGAAGAAAAAGCAUCGGCUAACUCCGUGCCAGCAGCCGCGGUAAUACGGAGGAUGCAAGCGUUAUCCGGAUUUAUUGGGUUUAAAGGGUGCGUAGGCGGCACGCCAAGUCAGCGGUGAAAGUUUCCGGCUCAACCCGGAGUGUGCCGUUGAAACUGGCGAGUCUAGAGUACACAAGAGGCAGGCGGAAUGCGUGGUGUAGCGGUGAAAUGCAUAGAUAUCACGCAGAACCCCGAUUGCGAAGGCAGCCUGCUAGGGUGAAACAGACGCUGAGGCACGAAAGCGUGGGUAUCGAACAGGAUUAGAUACCCUGGUAGUCCACGCAGUAAACGAUGAAUACUAACUGUUUGCGAUACAAUGUAAGCGGUACAGCGAAAGCGUUAAGUAUUCCACCUGGGGAGUACGCCGGCAACGGUGAAACUCAAAGGAAUUGACGGGGGCCCGCACAAGCGGAGGAACAUGUGGUUUAAUUCGAUGAUACGCGAGGAACCUUACCCGGGCUCAAACGCAGGGGGAAUAUAUAUGAAAGUAUAUAGCUAGCAAUAGUCACCUGCGAGGUGCUGCAUGGUUGUCGUCAGCUCGUGCCGUGAGGUGUCGGCUUAAGUGCCAUAACGAGCGCAACCCCUAUCGACAGUUACUAACGGGUCAAGCCGAGGACUCUGUCGAGACUGCCGGCGUAAGCCGCGAGGAAGGUGGGGAUGACGUCAAAUCAGCACGGCCCUUACGUCCGGGGCGACACACGUGUUACAAUGGCAGGUACAGAAGGCAGCCAGUCAGCAAUGACGCGCGAAUCCCGAAAACCU